CUUAAUUUAAUUUAAUUUGUUAUUGUUUUUGGUUUUGGGUUUGUUUGUUUUGUAUAACUUGCGAUGCUCACUGAUUUACUUUUAUUUUAGUAAGUAUAUAUUCUCAUGAAGUGAAAUGUACAAUUUCUUUUGAGAAAAUAAAGUUCUUUAAGCAUAAUACAGAAUUCUUAAAAUUAUUUCUUUUUUUCAGAACGCCCCUUUUAUGAAUGACCCCGGACUGUUCUCUCCAAGGUCCAGCGCAUGCAGCAGCCCAGUGCCAGUAGCUUUGCCUGAAAGGCAAAGUAUAUUAAUUCUAGGACCAAAUGGAACUCUUGAGGGUACUCCAUUAGAGAUCAGACCAAGUGUACAGCCCACUAUACAACAGAUCACACCUGUGCAACCACCUACGAUACCGGCCACACCUGUGCAGCCUCCACAGCCUCCACAGGCGUUGCAAGAUUAUAAUAGGGAAGGAUACUUCGAACCAAAGUUGGUGAGGAACAAGCAAAUUCAACCGCGUUGCUGGGAAUUGU
Long non-coding RNA from Cydia splendana, 512 nucleotides. RefSeq lists it as uncharacterized. The transcript is spliced from 3 exons. The record is from RefSeq and is a predicted model, not a curated record. Lineage: Eukaryota; Metazoa; Arthropoda; Insecta; Lepidoptera; Tortricidae.